UACGGAGGGGGCUAGCGUUGUUCGGAUUCAUUGGGCGUAAAGGGUGCGUAGGCGGUGAUGUAAGUUGGAUGUGAAAUCCCGGAGCUUAACUCCGGAACUGCAUUCAAUACUGCGUUGCUAGAGUGCUGGAGAGGAGAUUGGAAUUCACGGUGUAGCAGUGAAAUGCGUAGAUAUCGUGAGGAAGACCAGUGGCGAAGGCGAAUCUCUGGACAGUAACUGACGCUGAGGCACGAAGGCCAGGGGAGCAAACGGG
RNAcentral lists this ribosomal RNA (253 nucleotides) under uncultured bacterium. Its description in RNAcentral is "partial 16S ribosomal RNA". It matches the Rfam family "Bacterial small subunit ribosomal RNA", at positions 524 to 776 of the family's 1533-position model. The record is from RNAcentral.